UACGUAGGGUGCGAGCGUUGUCCGGAAUUAUUGGGCGUAAAGAGCUCGUAGGCGGCUUGUCGCGUCGGAUGUGAAAGCCCGGGGCUUAACUCCGGGCCUGCAGUCGAUACGGGCAGGCUAGAGUUCGGUAGGGGAGACUGGAAUUCCUGGUGUAGCGGUGAAAUGCGCAGAUAUCAGGAGGAACACCGGUGGCGAAGGCGGGUCUCUGGGCCGAUACUGACGCUGAGGAGCGAAAGCGUGGGGAGCGAACAGG
Molecule: ribosomal RNA, 253 nt
Filed under: uncultured bacterium
Lineage: Bacteria
Description: partial 16S ribosomal RNA
Rfam family: Bacterial small subunit ribosomal RNA
Source: RNAcentral